This is a long non-coding RNA of Sphaerodactylus townsendi, 2060 nucleotides long. RefSeq lists it as uncharacterized. The record is from RefSeq and is a predicted model, not a curated record. Lineage: Eukaryota; Metazoa; Chordata; Lepidosauria; Squamata; Sphaerodactylidae. The transcript has 2 exons.
UAGGUAAUGGAAUUUCUGCCUGAUGUUUGAUCCACAAGUAAGUAUUGUGGCCACAUUUACAGAUUCCCAGUGAACCAACCCAUUAUGUUUGGUGCUACUUUGAAUUUGACUGAAACCAGGGCCAAUCAUAAAUUAGUUAACAGAAGCAGUGUGUGAUCCUUGGUUUUGAGUAAGAACUGAGUUUAGUUGGUUAGGCUGGGGGGAAAUUCUAAAAAUAAAAAGUUUAAAGGAAACCAUUCUCUCUCUUCCCACUUCUCUCUGCCCCAUUCCCAACCGUGUUCCCAUUUUCCCUUAUUCCUCCAUCUCUGCUUUACUGGGUUUCUUUCUCCUGAAGGAAAUGUGUCUUCUCAUAGUUUAAUACUAAUUCCUCUGUGCAGUAAACACUAAAUGCAUGGGGAGCUUCUGUGUCCUCAACCCUUAUAGCAAACUGCCUGACAAACUGCUUUUAAGUCUCAAGGAACUGGUAUUUCAAAUGUGAUUUUGUUUUUGUACUAUAGAAUGAGAUUUUUUUUGGAAAGAAAAUUAAGUAAGACAUUCAAAUGCAUGUGUGCAAAUAUAAUCACUUUCUGAAUUGUUGAAGGCUUUCACGGCCAGAUUCUUUCAAUAAUCACUUUCUGUUUGGGUUCUGUGGGUAUAAUUUGGGAACAGAAUUUCCAUGACAAAUUGUUGUUGUUAUUUUUAAAAAACACCCCUUUAACUCAACCUUUUUGCUGUACAGAAAAAUCCAACAAAACUGAUGUAACUAGCAGUACAAUCCAGAGUAGGGGAAGGGAGAGAGGCAAAAGGCUCUGGAUGAGGUGUGACCCCUGAGCAGUGUGGAUGCCACUUAACAUGGUAUAUAACAUGGUGGUUGUUAGUGAGAGGUUAGUCAGAGGAAGAAGUUCUCAAAUUAAUAAUAAUGUAACAAGAAGAUGAAAGGAGUCCAAGUGAAAAGAAAGGGCAUGCACGUUUCAGUCUGGGAAAUUUUUACCUGGAUUAAACUGAUUUAUGUUAGCGAUAACAGUACCCAUGUAUCCUAUGUAAGCCGCCCUGAGUCUUUUAGGAGAGUGGGUGGUUAUAAGUGUAAAACAAACAAACAAACAAAAAUAAAUAAAUAAAUAAAUAAAUAAAUAAAUAAAUAAAUAAAAAAAAUUACAAUGCUGGCAGGAACACUUGGGACAAAAACAUUAACAUUAACAACACCUACAUAUGGUUGAUAGAAUAAAUAAUCAAAUACGCAAUUUAUCCUUUGAGACGUAUAAGAUGAAUUGGAAUUUACAGGUGGAAUAUGUUAUGAGAGACAAAGGUGUACAUGUUUUAUCUAUAGAAUGUUGAAAUAGUAGCUAAUACAAUAUUGUGAAAUAAAGAAUUCUAUAACAGAAUAGAUUAGAUUUUGAGACAAUUUUAAAGAGAAAGGAUUGAGAUAAUAAUAAUGUUAGAGGAAAUAACUGUUUUGAGUUAUUGUUUAGUAUCUGAUUGUUUGUUAUGAUACUUUAUUUAGACAUGAUAUAUUUGGGUGAUGACUAUGUAUUUUUAAGAUUUAUGUAAAUAAUUUGAAAAAAUCUCAAUAAAAUAUUUAUAGAUUUUAAAAAAUAUAUGUCCACAAUUCAUUAACAGUAUUUACAAAAUAGAUAAAAGAAUUUUAAAUUGUUAUCUAGUUUCCAUUUCCAGUUAUAUAGUCAACAUCAGACAUAUCUCAUAUUGUAACCCCCAAGCCAUUACUGGACGCAUGGCAACUUUAGGCCAGCUGCUUGUUAAAGUUUCUAAUUUUUCCCUCCUUAUUCUUCCAAAAGAUUGAUAAACUGCAACCUUUAAAUUCAUACUGGAUGGAAGGCAAAUUUCAAAGGUUUAUGUACCCAACCCUGAAUAUUCUAUCAACCAAUCUCUUCAAAGAACCAGACGAAAUAAAAUACCUACUUUUAAGAAAGCAAAUCCCUGUUCAUUAUCUUAAUUAAGGAAAAGCAGAACACAUUCUACCUCCUUUCUCUAUUUGCUAGUAAUCUUACAAUGUUUUAAUUGUCUAUUAAUUUUGCCUGGGUGAAGGUAAAAAUGAGUUCCCAGUAUUAGAAAGAAGUUUACCC